GGGUCCGUGGUGCAACGAUUAGCGUACUCUCCCAGAAAGAGUGAGACCUGGGUUCGAAUCCCGGCUGACGCG
Parelaphostrongylus tenuis is the source of this 72-nucleotide non-coding RNA. The record is from the annotation of a GenBank genome assembly. NCBI's taxonomy places the organism in Eukaryota, Metazoa, Nematoda, Chromadorea, Rhabditida, Metastrongylidae.